AGUGUUUGAUCAUGGCUCAGGAUGAACGCUAGCGGGAGGCCUAACACAUGCAAGUAGAACGGGAAUGGUAGCAAUACCAUGAGAGUGGCGCACGGGUGAGUAACGCGUAUGCAACCUGCCUUUAACAGGGGGAUAGCCCGUUGAAAGACGGAUUAAUACCCCAUAGUAUUUAGUUUCUGCAUGGGAAUUAAAUUAAAGCUCCGGCGGUUAAAGAUGGGCAUGCGUGACAUUAGCUAGUUGGUGAGGUAACGGCUCACCAAGGCGACGAUGUCUAGGGGUUCUGAGAGGAUGAUGCCCCACACUGGUACUGAGACACGGACCAGACUCCUACGGGAGGCAGCAGUGAGGAAUAUUGGUCAAUGGCCGCAAGGCUCCGGUGCCAUCCCGCGUGAAGGAAGACUGCCCUAUGGGUUGUAAGCUUCUUAACUGCACCAAGAAAAAGAUCCUCGAGAGGGUCCUUGCCGGUAGUGCAGGAAUAAGCAUCGGCUAACUCCGUGCCAGCAGCCGCGGUAAUACGGAGGAUGCAAGCGUUAUCCGGAUUCAUCGGGUCUAAAGGGUGCGUAGGCGGCUUUUUAAGUCAGUGGUGAAAUCCUGCCGCUUAACGGUAGAAUUGCCAUUGAUACUGAAGGGCUUGAGUGCAGUUGAGGUAGGCCGAAUGUGUAGUGUAGCGGUGAAAUGCUUAGAUAUUGCUGAAACACCGAUUGCGAAGGCAGCUUACUAAGCUGCAACUGACGCUGAUGCACGAAAGCGUGGGGAUCAAACAGGAUUAGAUACCCUGGUAGUCCACGCUGUAAACGAUGCUCACUCGCUGUUUGCGAUAUACCGUAAGCGGCCAAUCGAAAGAAUUAAGUGAGCCACCUGGGGAGUGACGAUCGCAAGGUUGAAACUCAAAAUUGACGCAUGCCCGCACAAGCGGAGCUAUGAUGUGGUUUAAUUCGAUGAUACGCGAGGAACCAGACCUGGGCUUAAAUGGGGAGUGACAGCUGCCGAAAGGUGAGUAUCAUUCGGACACUCUCGCAAGGUGCUGCAUGGUUGUCGUCAGCUCGUGCCGUGAGGUGUCGGGUUAAGUCCCAUAACGAGCGCAACCCUUAUCGUUAGUUGCCAGCGGGUCAAGCCGGGGACUCUAGCGAGACUGCCACCGUAAGGUGAGACUAAGGUGGGGAUGACGUCAAAUCAGCACGGCAGUUAUGUCCAGGGCUACACACGUGUUACAAUGGCCGGUACAAAGGGCAGCUACCUGGUGACAGGAUGCUAAUCUCGAAAGCCGGUCUCAGUUCGGAUCGAAGUCUGCAACCCGACUUCGUGAAGCUGGAUUCGCUAGUAAUCGCGCAUCAGCCAUGGCGCGGUGAAUACGUUCCCGGGCCUUGUACACACCGCCCGUCAAACAAUGGAAGCCGCCGGUACCUGAAGUAUGUAACCGCAAGGAGCGUCCUAGGGUAAAACCGGUAACUGGUGUUAAGUCGUAACAAGGUAACC
This 1476-nucleotide ribosomal RNA is filed under the name uncultured Sunxiuqinia sp. Its description in RNAcentral is "bacterial SSU rRNA". It matches the Rfam family "Bacterial small subunit ribosomal RNA". The record is from RNAcentral. Lineage: Bacteria; Pseudomonadati; Bacteroidota; Bacteroidia; Marinilabiliales; Prolixibacteraceae.